AGGAUGAACGCUGGCGGCGUGCCUAAUACAUGCAAGUCGAGCGAACGGACGAGAAGCUUGCUUCUCUGAUGUUAGCGGCGGACGGGUGAGUAACACGUGGAUAACCUACCUAUAAGACUGGGAUAACUUCGGGAAACCGGAGCUAAUACCGGAUAAUAUUUUGAACCGCAUGGUUCAAAAGUGAAAGACGGUCUUGCUGUCACUUAUAGAUGGAUCCGCGCUGCAUUAGCUAGUUGGUAAGGUAACGGCUUACCAAGGCAACGAUGCAUAGCCGACCUGAGAGGGUGAUCGGCCACACUGGAACUGAGACACGGUCCAGACUCCUACGGGAGGCAGCAGUAGGGAAUCUUCCGCAAUGGGCGAAAGCCUGACGGAGCAACGCCGCGUGAGUGAUGAAGGUCUUCGGAUCGUAAAACUCUGUUAUUAGGGAAGAACAUAUGUGUAAGUAACUGUGCACAUCUUGACGGUACCUAAUCAGAAAGCCACGGCUAACUACGUGCCAGCAGCCGCGGUAAUACGUAGGUGGCAAGCGUUAUCCGGAAUUAUUGGGCGUAAAGCGCGCGUAGGCGGUUUUUUAAGUCUGAUGUGAAAGCCCACGGCUCAACCGUGGAGGGUCAUUGGAAACUGGAAAACUUGAGUGCAGAAGAGGAAAGUGGAAUUCCAUGUGUAGCGGUGAAAUGCGCAGAGAUAUGGAGGAACACCAGUGGCGAAGGCGACUUUCUGGUCUGUAACUGACGCUGAUGUGCGAAAGCGUGGGGAUCAAACAGGAUUAGAUACCCUGGUAGUCCACGCCGUAAACGAUGAGUGCUAAGUGUUAGGGGGUUUCCGCCCCUUAGUGCUGCAGCUAACGCAUUAAGCACUCCGCCUGGGGAGUACGACCGCAAGGUUGAAACUCAAAGGAAUUGACGGGGACCCGCACAAGCGGUGGAGCAUGUGGUUUAAUUCGAAGCAACGCGAAGAACCUUACCAAAUCUUGACAUCCUUUGACAACUCUAGAGAUAGAGCCUUCCCCUUCGGGGGACAAAGUGACAGGUGGUGCAUGGUUGUCGUCAGCUCGUGUCGUGAGAUGUUGGGUUAAGUCCCGCAACGAGCGCAACCCUUAAGCUUAGUUGCCAUCAUUAAGUUGGGCACUCUAAGUUGACUGCCGGUGACAAACCGGAGGAAGGUGGGGAUGACGUCAAAUCAUCAUGCCCCUUAUGAUUUGGGCUACACACGUGCUACAAUGGACAAUACAAAGGGCAGC
Molecule: ribosomal RNA, 1243 nt
Filed under: Staphylococcus aureus
Lineage: Bacteria; Bacillati; Bacillota; Bacilli; Caryophanales; Staphylococcaceae
Description: bacterial SSU rRNA
Rfam family: Bacterial small subunit ribosomal RNA
Source: RNAcentral